GUGGCCAUAGCUUAACGGUGAAAGUCGCGGAUUGUGAUUCCGCUUAUCCCGGUUCGAUUCCGGGUGGUCACCCCA
RNAcentral lists this transfer RNA (75 nucleotides) under Undibacterium sp. YM2. RNAcentral describes it as "tRNA-His". It matches the Rfam family "tRNA". Rfam says of the family: Transfer RNA (tRNA) molecules are approximately 80 nucleotides in length. Lineage: Bacteria; Pseudomonadati; Pseudomonadota; Betaproteobacteria; Burkholderiales; Oxalobacteraceae. RNAcentral also lists the same sequence under 2 other names. The record is from RNAcentral.